CGCGAAUGGCUCAUUACACAGCUAUAAUUUACUAGCUCUAUGUCCUAUAUGGAUAACUGCGGUAAUUCUGGAGCCAAUACAUGCAUCAAGCCUCGACCUUCGGGUUCGGGGUGCAAUUAUUGGAGCAAAACCAGUCUUGUACUGUUUGCUAACUCUGGAUAAUGCUGCUUAUCGCAUGGUCUUGUACCGGCGAAAUUGCUUUCAAGUAUCUGCUUUAUCAACUAACGUUGGUAUUUCAUUGGAUUACCAUGGUGUUGACGGGUAACGGAGAAUCAGGGUUUGACUCCGGAGAGGGAGCCUCAGAAACGGCUACCAUGUCUAAGGAUAGCAGCAGGCGCGAAAAUUACCCAAUAUCAAAGCGAUGAGGUAGUGACAGAAAAUAACGAGAUCGUUCUCUUUGAGGUCGGUCAUUGGAAUGAGUAAAAUCCAGACAUUUUAACGAGUAUCUACGAGAGGGCAAGUCUGGUGCCAGCAGCCGCGGUAAUUCCAGCUCUCGUAAUGUAUAGAAUUAUUGUUGCGAUUAAAAAGUUCGUAGUUGGAUUGCUAAUGCUACGUGGGUCCGUCUUCGUGACGUGUACUCAACGGGCGAAUUUUGUUGGUUUUUGCGGCGUGGUUUCGAUCGCGUUCGUAAUGCCAGCAGGAUUACUUUGAACGGCUCAAGUGUUCAGAGCAAGUCUUAUGACUGAAUACCGGUGCAUGGAAUAAUGGAACAAGGUUGCGGCCGAGUUUUAUUGGUUUUGUCGGCUGCGACAAUGGUUAACAGGAACAGCCGGGGGCAUUCGUAUCGCUGCGCGAGAGGUGAAAUUCGUGGACCGUAGCGAGACGUACGAAAGCGAAGGCAUUUGCCAAGAGUGUUUUCAUUAAUCAAGAACGAAAGUCAGAGGUUCGAAGGCGAUCAGAUACCGCCC
This 908-nucleotide ribosomal RNA is filed under the name Bursaphelenchus hofmanni. Its description in RNAcentral is "SSU rRNA". It matches the Rfam family "Eukaryotic small subunit ribosomal RNA", at positions 88 to 1020 of the family's 1831-position model. The record is from RNAcentral. Lineage: Eukaryota; Metazoa; Nematoda; Chromadorea; Rhabditida; Aphelenchoididae.